Molecule: ribosomal RNA, 449 nt
Filed under: uncultured bacterium
Lineage: Bacteria
Description: partial 16S ribosomal RNA
Rfam family: Bacterial small subunit ribosomal RNA
Source: RNAcentral
AACGAACGCUGGCGGCAUGCCUAACACAUGCAAGUCGAACGAGAUCUUCGGGUCUAGUGGCGCACGGGUGCGUAACGCGUGGGAAUCUGCCCUUUGGUUCGGAAUAACAGUUGGAAACGACUGCUAAUACCGGAUGAUGACGAAAGUCCAAAGAUUUAUCGCCAGAGGAUGAGCCCGCGUAGGAUUAGCUAGUUGGUGGGGUAAAGGCGCCCCAAGGCGACGAUCCUUAGCUGGUCUGAGAGGAUGAACAGCCACACUGGGACUGAGACACGGACCAGACUCCUACGGGAGGCAACAGGGGGGAAUAUUGGACAAUGGGCGAAAGCCUGAUCCAGCAAUGCCGCGUGAGUGAUGAAGGCCUUAGGGUUGUAAAGCUCUUUUACCCGGGAUGAUAAUGACAGUACCGGGAGAAUAAGCUCCGGCUAACUCCGUGCCAGCCGCCGCCAUAA